UCGAGUAUUUCCUUUUGUUCUUGGUUACUUUUUAACAGUGAAAUGUGGUAUAUUCUAUCAUCAGUUACAGCAGAACUGGCAUCUACCAUCAACCCAUAAGGAAACUACACCUUUUAAUGUUGUACGCAGGGGGAGUCAAAGGUACAAAGGCUGCUAAUCGUUUUGAGGUUGGACUUGAAGUCUACUGUCUCCUUCAUCUUGCUCCCCAGCAGAGCUCCAAGCAUGGCCUCAGCUGAGAUUU
Long non-coding RNA from Hypomesus transpacificus, 241 nucleotides. RefSeq lists it as uncharacterized. The transcript has 3 exons. Lineage: Eukaryota; Metazoa; Chordata; Actinopteri; Osmeriformes; Osmeridae. The record is from RefSeq and is a predicted model, not a curated record.